AUACGGAGGGUGCAAGCGUUGUUCGGAAUCACUGGGCGUAAAGGGCGCGCAGGCGGUUUGAUAAGUCAGAUGUGAAAGCCCACGGCUCAACCGUGGAAGUGCAUUUGAAACUGUCAGACUUGAGUACUAGAGGGGAAAGUGGAAUUCCCGGUGUAGAGGUGAAAUUCGUAGAUAUCGGGAGGAAUACCGGUGGCGAAGGCGACUUUCUGGCUAGAUACUGACGCUGAGGCGCGAAAGCGUGGGGAGCAAACAGGAUUAGAAACCCUAGUAGUCC
This 274-nucleotide ribosomal RNA is filed under the name uncultured bacterium. Its description in RNAcentral is "partial 16S ribosomal RNA". It matches the Rfam family "Bacterial small subunit ribosomal RNA", at positions 523 to 796 of the family's 1533-position model. The record is from RNAcentral.